ACCAGGAUGGCCGAGUGGUUAAGGUGUUGGACUUAAGUUCCAAUGAGCAAACCCCACUCCUGGUA
This 65-nucleotide transfer RNA is filed under the name Oreochromis niloticus (Nile tilapia). It matches the Rfam family "tRNA". From Rfam's summary of the family: Transfer RNA (tRNA) molecules are approximately 80 nucleotides in length. Their secondary structure includes four short double-helical elements and three loops (D, anti-codon, and T loops). Further hydrogen bonds mediate the characteristic L-shaped molecular structure. tRNAs have two regions of fundamental functional importance: the anti-codon, which is responsible for specific mRNA codon recognition, and the 3' end, to which the tRNAs corresponding amino acid is attached (by aminoacyl-tRNA synthetases). tRNAs cope with the degeneracy of the genetic code in two manners: having more than one tRNA (with a specific anti-codon) for a particular amino acid; and 'wobble' base-pairing, i.e. permitting non-standard base-pairing at the 3rd anti-codon position. The record is from Rfam by way of RNAcentral. Lineage: Eukaryota; Metazoa; Chordata; Actinopteri; Cichliformes; Cichlidae.